This 501-nucleotide ribosomal RNA is filed under the name uncultured bacterium. RNAcentral describes it as "partial 16S ribosomal RNA". It matches the Rfam family "Bacterial small subunit ribosomal RNA", at positions 29 to 523 of the family's 1533-position model. The record is from RNAcentral.
AUUGAACGCUGGCGGCAUGCCUUACACAUGCAAGUCGAACGGCAGCACGGGUGCUUGCACCUGGUGGCGAGUGGCGAACGGGUGAGUAAUACAUCGGAGCGUACCUUAUCGUGGGGGAUAACGCAGCGAAAGCUGUGCUAAUACCGCAUACGCCCUGAGGGGGAAAGCGGGGGAUCGCAAGACCUCGCGCGAUUAGAGCGGCCGAUGCCUGAUUAGCUUGUUGGUGGGGUAAAAGCCCACCAAGGCGACGAUCAGUAGCUGGUCUGAGAGGACGAUCAGCCACACUGGGACUGAGACACGGCCCAGACUCCUACGGGAGGCAGCGGUGGGGAAUUUUGGACAAUGGGGGCAACCCUGAUCCAGCAAUGCCGCGUGAGUGAAGAAGGCCUUCGGGUUGUAAAGCUCUUUUGUUAGGGAAGAAACACCGGCUCUAACACAGUCCGGGAAUGACGGUACCUGAAGAAUAAGCACCGGCUAACUACGUGCCAGCCGCCGCCGUAA